AACGAACGCUGGCGGCAUGCCUAACACAUGCAAGUCGAACGAGACCUUCGGGUCUAGUGGCGCACGGGUGCGUAACGCGUGGGAACCUGCCCUUAGGUUCGGAAUAACUCCCCGAAAGGGGUGCUAAUACCGGAUAAUGUCUUCGGACCAAAGAUUUAUCGCCUUUGGAUGGGCCCGCGUUGGAUUAGCUAGUUGGUAGGGUAAAAGCCUACCAAGGCGACGAUCCAUAGCUGGUCUGAGAGGAUGAUCAGCCACACUGGGACUGAGACACGGCCCAGACUCCUAGGGGGGGAGGAGGGGGGAAUAUUGGACAAUGGGCGAAAGCCUGAUCCAGCAAUGCCGCGUGAGUGAUGAAGGCCUUAGGGUUGUAAAGCUCUUUUACCCGGGAUGAUAAUGACAGUACCGGGAGAAUAAGCUCCGGCUAACUCCGUG
This 432-nucleotide ribosomal RNA is filed under the name uncultured bacterium. RNAcentral's name for it is "partial 16S ribosomal RNA". It matches the Rfam family "Bacterial small subunit ribosomal RNA", at positions 29 to 507 of the family's 1533-position model. The record is from RNAcentral.